UCUUUUUUUUUUUUUUUCUCUUGCCACUUCUGUCUCAGUUUCUCUUCAUUUUCCAGCACCAUGGGUAUCUGUGCAUUAAGCCUGAUGCGGUUUGCAGAAUCAGGAUAUAAAUCAGUACUAACUUCUUCCUUCAUUGUUUGUAUGUUACACUAAAAAAAAAAAAAAGAAAGAAAGAAAAACUGAAUUUUAAAACCCUUUCAAAGGUACAUGGGAAGUUUAAGUUCAUUGCCAUAGAGAUAGAGCUUAUUUCUCAAGCUUAAUCUUUCUACAAUAACAAAGCUAUCGCCCACACACCUCUGAGCUUAUUCUUCCUCGUAUAAACAUUCUAAUACAUAGAACCACAGAACAAGUAUGGUUGAUACUGUACUUCGGGGGUUUUGUGAAAAAUCACGGAAAAGACUGUGAACUGCAUGUGUGGUGAAAGUUACUGUGGAAAAAUGAAGAUAGGAGUUAGCUUACUCAAAAAAGAACUGUCAUUUGUAAGGGAUUCAUGACUUUCUUUAGUUUUCAUGUUUUUAUUUUUUUUAAGGAUUUCUAGAAACAUUUGGAAAAUGAAGAUGUAUUGUAUUUUUUCCUCAUUUUCUGAAGUAAUAUUAAUUUUAAGCAAUUUGCAAACUUAUUUUUUUCAAGUUACAAACAUUAUUACAGAUUCUAAGAUGAAUGUGGUCUCAAAGUUGUGGUCCUAAGCUUCUCUGCUAUUUCUCCUUCACAGGGCCUCUGAUUAUGCUGUGUUUCUCUUGAGUUACCCACUCCUUUAGUAAAUAGAGGUGAAAAGUUACAGUAGAGACAUGAUGUGUCCUUUUCUAAUUCUCUUGUCCAGACGUGCAUAGGCUUGUCAUAACAAGACUUUAUACUCCCAUGCCAUUAUUCAGAUGAUACUGGAUACUAAUAGGAUACCCAGCUAUUUAAAGUUUGAUAUUUCACAUACAAUUCCUGUAGUAAUACAAUAAUAUUUUAGCACCCACAAACACAGAAUGCAGGAUAAUCCAUGAAGAAAAAUUAUGAAAGAAGACAAAUGGUUUGCAUUUACACUAAAAGGGUUGCAAUUUAUUGUGAAGUUACACUUCACAUCUAGGAUGUUAUAAGAGUGGGUAAGAACUGGAUUAGUGCUAUCAGUGCAUCUUUAUAAGGUAACAAAACUUCCAAAAAUGUCAUUUAUUUGGAAAAACGUUAUUCACAAAAUUUGGCUUCAUUCAUCCAGUAUGGUUUUUUCAGGGGGUUGGAGAAGAUUUUGAAUGCCUUUUAGUGCUUACUUUCAUGAUCUUAUCAAAAUAUAAUGUUUUGUUUGAAAGAACUAAUUUUGAACAUUCAAAAUCAGAAUGUAACUUUCUUGUUUCACUACACCAUUUUUCGUUAAAAUUUUAUCAAGAUUAAGAGAAAAACAUGUUUUAAAAGGUUAAAUAACACUGAACAGUAUAAAAACCUUCUUUUUCGUUGUUGAAUAAAAUCCAAAACUAGAAUUCUUAUGCAGUCCAAACUAUUUCCCUGAUUUUUUUUUCCUGUUUGAUCCCAAAAACCAAAGAUCUGUUAUUAUUCCGUGUCCAAUUAAGAUAUUACACAUUUUCCUCACCCAUUCACUGCACUGGAUCUUUACUAAAGGAUUUGCAAGCUCUGUUGGCUCUAUUAGCAAUCUGGUGCCUGCAGGGAGAUAGCUGCAAAUGUUGUUUCUCUCUCUAACCCAUAGUCAAAAAGGACACUGGCGGGCAAUUCAAAAGUUUGUUACCAGAGCUGCUUUUCUAAUCCUGUUUUAGCAGUUUCUUAUUAAUAACCACCUUUAUUAACUUUAGAUUUUUUUGCCUCAUUAUGCAUAAAAUUGUCAUAAUGGGACAUUAUGGGUUCAGUGCUUACCCCAGCAAAUUUACACUACUCAUCUUUCUUACUUGGUUAUACAAGUAUUUCCUCCAGCUACAAAACUUUGGCAAUUCCAGGUUCAUGAAAAAAGCUUUUCUAAGAGAGCUGGUACUUCAAUGGCUGGCUGGCUGUAUGGACACCUUGCCCCUUGGACAACUGUUCUGUCCAUCAGAUCAAGAUAGCAUAAAUCACCUAUGUAUGGAGGGAUCUCCCAUCUUCACACUUCCAGCUGCUGCCUGUUAGCUCCAUCAUAUUUUGUAGGCUCACUUCUUGAAUUGUACAACCCAUGCUACUUCAAGAACUAGCAGACAGGCUGGCAGGAUUUCAGAGCUAUCAUUACAUUUACUCAGUAGGCUGUAGGAAAACCACUUGUAUUAUCCAGUACUCUCUACAAUGGUUCCUUUUGUCUUCCCAAUAUUAAGAAUAUUAGCUUGUGCCAUAUGUUACAGGUUGCUUGGAAUUACUCAAGAUAUCUAAUGUGGGUGUUGUACUGCAACAUAGAAGACUAUGUAUAAAUAUCCCAGUGCCUUAUCUCAGACAAAUUUGAACUGUUUCUAACCAAGCUAAGGUGAUUAAUUCAAGAACAGCAUCCUGCCAACAUGGCUACUAGCAGUGUUCUGGGAAUACAUAUGAUGACUAGGCCUUCACAAAAAAAAAAAACAACAAAACCAACAAAACCCAAAAACCAACAAAUCAAAACGAAAGAAG
RNAcentral lists this long non-coding RNA (2559 nucleotides) under Strigops habroptila (Kakapo). RNAcentral's name for it is "lncRNA (ENSSHBG00005009075.1)". Lineage: Eukaryota; Metazoa; Chordata; Aves; Psittaciformes; Psittacidae. The record is from RNAcentral.